AUGGCGUCCCAGCCACCACCUCCAUCCCAAGAGAUCGAUCUGGGGGCCUUCCUCCCGUUGUCUCCAGCCUCCUCAUUUGCCUCCGAGGCCGACGCUGAUCACCGCCGUGCCGUCGACGAUCUGCUCCUCCUCCUCUCGUCCGAAGAUGACGACGACGACGACGAGACAACCGGUACACCCAGCACCGACCACAAAGCCCUGACCCGUAGCAAAGCCCCACCGCCGCCCCGUGAGCUCGAUCCGGAGGCCUUCCUCCAGCCGUCUCCCGGCUCCUCCUCAGGUUCCGACGCGGACGCCGAUCACCGCCGGGCCGUCGACGACCUGCUCCUCCAACUCUCCUCGUCACACACCGACGACGGCGAGCUGCAGGAUCCCUUGUUGGACAUGGCUGAUGCCUGUACCAUCCUCACCAGCACCGUGCGCUCUGUGCAGCUGUUCAAGAUUGAAGGUUUGAAAGCGUUGUGCUCGCAGCCCGGUCUGGAUAAGCAGUGCGUCAAAUCAAAGUGUGAGGUCGGUGGGUAUGAGUGGGAAAUCCUUUGCUAUGUACCCACUUAUUCCACCUCUUGGCUAGACUUCUGCCUUAUGUUAUUGAGUGAAGCCCCCCGGUCUGGCUCUGUGACAGCAAGCAUAAGCUGUCAACUGGUACAUCCGAGGGUGCCGGGCAAUCCACCAGACCCUGUUCUGCACAGAGCACCACAUUCUGAGGUGACUAUCUCACAUGUGUUCAAGCGCCACAAAGAUUGCUCACAUCGGGCAAUGAUCGUGCAAAAGAAAUCUCUACCGGAGCCGGCAUGUCCUGAUGAUGAUUACUUGAGUGUGGAGUGCAUCAUCACUAUUCUGAAGGAAAAUCCUGAUGUGGCAACCGCACUUCGGGUGCCGGCCUCCAACUUGCAGCAGCACCUUGGUGAGCUCCUGCAGAGCAAGACGGGAUCCGAUGUUACGUUCCUCGUCUCGGGUGAGUCCUUUCUUGCACACAAGAAUAUCCUUGCUGCGAGGUCACCUGUCCUCAUGGCUGAGUUCUUCGGGAGCAUGAGGGAGAGCAGCGCUCAACAAGUCGUGAUCGAUGACAUGGAGGCGGAAGCAUUCAAGGCCAUGCUGCACUUCAUCUACACCGACAAAGUUCCUGAAUUUGAUUGGGAGCAGGAGGCUGCAGUUACAAUGGCUCAACAUCUGCUUGCGGCGGCUGACAGGUAUGGGCUGGGCAAGCUCAAGGUUAUGUGCGAGGACAAACUUUCAGGUGACCUUACUAUAGAUACAGCGGGUACUACUUUGGCAUUAGCUGAGCAGCACAACUGCUCUGACCUCAAGGCUAGUUGCAUCGAGUUCAUCCUCAGCAGCCCUACGAUACUUGAAGCGGUGGUGGCGACGGAGGGGUAUAAGAAUCUGGAGGCAAGCUGUCCUGCUAUUAUUAGCUUCAUUGUGCGUGGGAGAAGCAACUGA
Molecule: ribosomal RNA, 1440 nt
Filed under: Triticum aestivum (bread wheat)
Lineage: Eukaryota; Viridiplantae; Streptophyta; Magnoliopsida; Poales; Poaceae
Description: partial small subunit ribosomal RNA
Source: RNAcentral